ACACACGCGUGUAGAGCUCUGCUAUGGUC
Molecule: non-coding RNA, 29 nt
Filed under: Rattus norvegicus (Norway rat)
Lineage: Eukaryota; Metazoa; Chordata; Mammalia; Rodentia; Muridae
Source: RNAcentral